AUUGAACGCUGGCGGCAGGCUUAACACAUGCAAGUCGAGCGGGGUGAUGGUGCUUGCACUAUCACUUAGCGGCGGACGGGUGAGUAAUGCUUAGGAAUCUGCCUAUUAGUGGGGGACAACAUCUCGAAAGGGAUGCUAAUACCGCAGACGUCCUACGGGAGAAAGCAGGGGAUCACUUGUGACCUUGCGCUAAUAGAUGAGCCUAAGUCGGAUUAGCUAGUUGGUGGGGUAAAGGCCUACCAAGGCGACGAUCUGUAGCGGGUCUGAGAGGAUGGACCGCCACACUGGGACUGGGACACGGCCCAGACGCCUACGAGAGGCAGCAGUGUGGAAUAUUGGCCAAUGGGAGGAGCCCUGAUCCAUCCAUGCCGCGUGUGUGAAGAAGGCCUUAUGGUUGUAAAGCACUUUAAGCGAGGCGGAGGCUCUUUUGGUUAAUACCCAAGAUGAGUGGACGUUACUCGCAGAAUAAGCACCGGCUAACUCUGUGCCAGCCGCCGCAGUAA
This 503-nucleotide ribosomal RNA is filed under the name uncultured bacterium. RNAcentral's name for it is "partial 16S ribosomal RNA". It matches the Rfam family "Bacterial small subunit ribosomal RNA", at positions 30 to 523 of the family's 1533-position model. The record is from RNAcentral.